ACAUCCAGAGAACUUAGCAGAGAUGCUUUGGUGCCUUCGGGAACUCUGAGACAGGUGCUGCAUGGCUGUCGUCAGCUCGUGUUGUGAAAUGUUGGGUUAAGUCCCGNAACGAGCGCAACCCUUAUCCUUUGUUGCCAGCGGCUCGGCCGGGAACUCAAAGGAGACUGCCGGUGAUAAACCGGAGGAAGGUGGGGAUGACGUCAAGUCAUCAUGGCCCUUACGGCCAGGGCUACACACGUGCUACAAUGGCGCAUACAAAGAGAAGCGACCUCGCGAGAGCAAGCGGACCUCAUAAAGUGCGUCGUAGUCCGGAUUGGAGUCUGCAACUCGACUCCAUGAAGUCGGAAUCGCUAGUAAUCGUAGAUCAGAAUGCUACGGUGAAUACGUUCCCGGGCCUUGUACACACCGCCCGUCACACCAUGGGAGUGGGUUGCAAAAGAAGUAGGUAGCUUAACCUUCGGGAGGGCGCUUACCACUUUGUGAUUCAUGACUGGGGUGAAGUCGUAACAAGGUAAGCGUAGACGU
Molecule: ribosomal RNA, 525 nt
Filed under: uncultured bacterium
Lineage: Bacteria
Description: bacterial SSU rRNA
Rfam family: Bacterial small subunit ribosomal RNA
Source: RNAcentral